Phytophthora infestans T30-4 is the source of this 65-nucleotide transfer RNA. It matches the Rfam family "tRNA". From Rfam's summary of the family: Transfer RNA (tRNA) molecules are approximately 80 nucleotides in length. The record is from Rfam. NCBI's taxonomy places the organism in Eukaryota, Oomycota, Peronosporomycetes, Peronosporales, Peronosporaceae.
ACCGAUUUAGCUCAAUGGUAGAGCUCCCGAAAGGAAAGGAGGUGGUUCAAAUCCACCCAUUGGUA